GGUUAAGCGACUAAGCGUACACGGUGGAUGCCCUGGCAGUCAGAGGCGAUGAAGGACGUGCUAAUCUGCGAAAAGCGUCGGUAAGGUGAUAUGAACCGUUAUAGCCGGCGAUGUCCGAAUGGGGAAACCCAGUGCAAUUCGUUGCACUAUCGUUUGAUGAAUACAUAGUCAAACGAGGCGAACCGGGGGAACUGAAACAUCUAAGUACCCCGAGGAAAAGAAAUCAACCGAGAUUCCCCCAGUAGCGGCGAGCGAACGGGGAGCAGCCCGGAGUCUGAAUCAGCUUGUGUGUUAGUGGAAGCGUCUGGAAAGUCGCAGGGUACAGGGUGAUACUCCCGUACACUAAAACGCACAGGUUGUGAACUCGAAGAGUAGGGCGGGACACGUGGUAUCCUGUCUGAAUAUGGGGGGACCAUCCUCCAAGGCUAAAUACUCCUGACUGACCGAUAGUGAACCAGUACCGUGAGGGAAAGGCGAAAAGAACCCCGGCGAGGGGAGUGAAAAAGAACCUGAAACCGUGUACGUACAAGCAGUAGGAGCCUCUUUAUGGGGUGACUGCGUACCUUUUGUAUAAUGGGUCAGCGACUUAUAUUCUGUAGCAAGGUUAACCGUAUAGGGGAGCCGCAGGGAAACCGAGUCUUAACUGGGCGUUAAGUUGCAGGGUAUAGACCCGAAACCCGGUGAUCUAGCCAUGGGCAGGUUGAAGGUUGGGUAACACUAACUGGAGGACCGAACCGACUAAUGUUGAAAAAUUAGCGGAUGACUUGUGGCUGGGGGUGAAAGGCCAAUCAAACCGGGAGAUAGCUGGUUCUCCCCGAAAGCUAUUUAGGUAGCGCCUCGUGAACUCAUCUUCGGGGGUAGAGCACUGUUUCGGCUAGGGGGUCAUCCCGACUUACCAACCCGAUGCAAACUACGAAUACCGAAGAAUGUUAUCACGGGAGACACACGGCGGGUGCUAACGUCCGUCGUGAAGAGGGAAACAACCCAGACCGCCAGCUAAGGUCCCAAAGUCAUGGUUAAGUGGGAAACGAUGUGGGAAGGCCCAGACAGCCAGGAUGUUGGCUUAGAAGCAGCCAUCAUUUAAAGAAAGCGUAAUAGCUCACUGGUCGAGUCGGCCUGCGCGGAAGAUGUAACGGGGCUAAACCAUGCACCGAAGCUGCGGCAGCGACACUAUGUGUUGUUGGGUAGGGGAGCGUUCUGUAAGCCGUUGAAGGUGGCCUGUGAGGGUUGCUGGAGGUAUCAGAAGUGCGAAUGCUGACAUAAGUAACGAUAAUGCGGGUGAAAAACCCGCACGCCGGAAGACCAAGGGUUCCUGUCCAACGUUAAUCGGGGCAGGGUGAGUCGACCCCUAAGGCGAGGCCGAAAGGCGUAGUCGAUGGGAAACAGGUUAAUAUUCCUGUACUCGGUGUUACUGCGAAGGGGGGACGGAGAAGGCUAUGUUGGCCGGGCGACGGUUGUCCCGGUUUAAGCAUGUAGGCGGAUGUUCCAGGUAAAUCCGGAACGUUACUAACGCUGAGGUGUGAUGACGAGGCACUACGGUGCUGAAGUGACAAAUGCCCUGCUUCCAGGAAAAGCCUCUAAGCAUCAGGUAACAUCAAAUCGUACCCCAAACCGACACAGGUGGUCAGGUAGAGAAUACCAAGGCGCUUGAGAGAACUCGGGUGAAGGAACUAGGCAAAAUGGUGCCGUAACUUCGGGAGAAGGCACGCUGAUAUGUAGGUGAAGUGGUUUACCCAUGGAGCUGAAAUCAGUCGAAGAUACCAGCUGGCUGCAACUGUUUAUUAAAAACACAGCACUGUGCAAACACGAAAGUGGACGUAUACGGUGUGACGCCUGCCCGGUGCCGGAAGGUUAAUUGAUGGGGUUAUCCGUAAGGAGAAGCUCUUGAUCGAAGCCCCGGUAAACGGCGGCCGUAACUAUAACGGUCCUAAGGUAGCGAAAUUCCUUGUCGGGUAAGUUCCGACCUGCACGAAUGGCGUAAUGAUGGCCAGGCUGUCUCCACCCGAGACUCAGUGAAAUUGAACUCGCUGUGAAGAUGCAGUGUACCCGCGGCAAGACGGAAAGACCCCGUGAACCUUUACUAUAGCUUGACACUGAACACUGGUCCUUGAUGUGUAGGAUAGGUGGGAGGCUUUGAAGUGUGGACGCCAGUCUGCAUGGAGCCAUCCUUGAAAUACCACCCUUUAAUGGCUGGUGUUCUAACGUGGGCCCCUAAUCGGGGUUGCGGACAGUGUCUGGUGGGUAGUUUGACUGGGGCGGUCUCCUCCUAAAGAGUAACGGAGGAGCACGAAGGUCAGCUAAUCCUGGUCGGACAUCAGGAGGUUAGUGCAAUGGCAUAAGCUGGCUUGACUGCGAGCGUGACGGCGCGAGCAGGUGCGAAAGCAGGUCAUAGUGAUCCGGUGGUUCUGAAUGGAAGGGCCAUCGCUCAACGGAUAAAAGGUACUCCGGGGAUAACAGGCUGAUACCGCCCAAGAGUUCAUAUCGACGGCGGUGUUUGGCACCUCGAUGUCGGCUCAUCACAUCCUGGGGCUGAAGUAGGUCCCAAGGGUAUGGCUGUUCGCCAUUUAAAGUGGUACGCGAGCUGGGUUUAGAACGUCGUGAGACAGUUCGGUCCCUAUCUGCCGUGGGCGCUGGAGAAUUGAGGGGGGCUGCUCCUAGUACGAGAGGACCGGAGUGGACGCAUCACUGGUGUUCGGGUUGUCAUGCCAAUGGCAUUGCCCGGUAGCUAAAUGCGGAAGAGAUAAGUGCUGAAAGCAUCUAAGCACGAAACUUGCCCCGAGAUGAGUUCUCCCUGACUCCUUGAGAGUCCUGAAGGAACGUUGAAGACGACGACGUUGAUAGGCCGGGUGUGUAAGCGCAGCGAUGCGUUGAGCUAACCGGUACUAAUGAACCGUGAGGCUUAACCUU
This 2907-nucleotide ribosomal RNA is filed under the name Klebsiella grimontii. RNAcentral describes it as "23S ribosomal RNA". It matches the Rfam family "Bacterial large subunit ribosomal RNA". The record is from RNAcentral. Lineage: Bacteria; Pseudomonadati; Pseudomonadota; Gammaproteobacteria; Enterobacterales; Enterobacteriaceae.